AUGGAAACCAAUGGAACCUAUGAUAUGCACAUAAAUCAAUGGAACCUAUUCAAACAUGUUGCCUUCUCAGUCGGCUGGAGCUUCAUGUGGGUUAUUUUAUUUGGAAUCCUAUUUGCCGGGGUCGGAUCAUAUGCAGUGUACAAAUACAGUCUACAGUCUACAGGUUCCGUAAAAUGGCAGCGGGUAGAGUUCUUGUCCUGCACAAAGGAAGGCUGGUCGAGAUUAAGAAAAGCAAAAAAAAAGGAGAGUAGAAGAAAUCACACAGAAAAGCAUAGAGUCAGGGGACAACAUGAAAAUGUUGAUUUGGCCUGGCAGCAUCAUCUCGUCCUCCAUUUGUAG
Molecule: ribosomal RNA, 339 nt
Filed under: Triticum aestivum (bread wheat)
Lineage: Eukaryota; Viridiplantae; Streptophyta; Magnoliopsida; Poales; Poaceae
Description: partial small subunit ribosomal RNA
Source: RNAcentral